RNAcentral lists this long non-coding RNA (323 nucleotides) under Setaria italica (foxtail millet). Its description in RNAcentral is "long non-coding RNA (SITA_LNC004811)". The record is from RNAcentral. Lineage: Eukaryota; Viridiplantae; Streptophyta; Magnoliopsida; Poales; Poaceae.
UUUGUCAUAGUUUACUGCUGCCAGUAUAGAUCCAUAGUACAGGGCUAACCUUAAUCAACUGCCCAGCUCUUGGGACACAGCAAGAAUCUCAGCUUGCUCUUUUCAUCAGUGCCAUGUGGGCCACCACCAGGAGAAAAGGCAAGGCGAAAUGGCACUAUUGUCUAUUUGAGAAUGAGAACGGCUGCUACACUACUGAGCAAUGAGCAUUCCAGUCUGGUCAGUUGCUCAUCCAUUGAAGUAUUAGACUCAUCUUUCCCAACAGCACUAUCCCUGUUGUAAACAUGAACCAGAUUUCCUCAGAAACUUUUUUUUUCUUCUCUUUG